AGACACAGAACUCAGACAAAUGGAAACCUAACUAGCAGCAGAUGCCAGCCAGAUCCGAUCUGAUGCCAGGAGGAAGAAUGCAGACAGCAACAGGCUGAGCGGGGCAUGGAAGAACAUCAAGGAAAGGUCUGACGCAAAUGAAACGCCUGGGAGAGAAACACAGGACACAGCGUGACCAUGAAGAGACCUGGGAGUCACAGAGGAAAAAAUUCUGUCUCAUGGCAGUGUAGCAAGACAAGAACAUGAAAGUCACUGGCUUGGGGUCACUUUGGUGGCCAUUCUACUUUCUGGGACCCUGAUCUUUGAGAAAGGCCCUGGUGUCCUCAAAGACACCCCAAUAUUCCCACAUCACUAGCGUUGGCCAGUGCCUUGCAAAAGGAUAUGCGCUGGAGACAAGGUCAGCUGUCCCUGGGGAUCACCAGACGCUGGAUUUCAUUUCCAGGCAAGACUUUCACUCUGUUGAACUACGCUUCCUGCGACUACAUACUCACAUACAAACACUAGCACAAAUGUCAUCAGAUUGUUCUUAUGUUGCUUGGAUACUUUUCAUUCUGAUGUGCUGUAUAACUGUUGUAUAAAUAUAAAAUAGAUAUGUGCAAAAUGAGGGUCCUAACUUGUGAACACCGGCGGGCUAUGGCUGAGAGUACAGAAACAGAGUUCUAAAAUGCUGUGGUCCCGUGUAUGCUGUGUGAUGUCCUCAGGGAAGGCUCCUGAGUUGAGGUCUGCUCAUGAAGAAAGUCGUCUUCUUUGCCCCCCCCCCAAAAAAAAAGACAAACAAAAACCAAAAACCCCCAAACAGCCAUUUGUUGACUGACUCUCUGGAGGGAGAGGAAAACCACAAAAAACUGGUCCAGCUGUGCCUGGUGGUGGACAUAAUGGCAUAGUACUGAAAGGCCAAGGGAAGUGACAGAAUGCCUCCAAGUCUCUUGGAUAGCCUCCCCUGACUACAUGGGCAACUGUUAGGAGCAUUUCUCAGGAGCCUAAAAGGAGACCCUCUGCAUACUUCUUAGGAACUUCUUACCCAACGACUGCAACAUUCUUAAUAACCUGUACUGUCUUCUAUAUUCAGGCUGGAAAGUGGUUUAGUUGGUAGAAGAGCUUGUUAACAUGUACAAAAAAAUCUCCGGGUUCAGUCCCCAAACUUGCAUAAAGCCAGGUGUGUCGGCACAUGCCUAUAAUCCCAUCACUGGGGAAAGUGGAGAUGGGAGGACCAGCAGCUUGAGUUUGAGGCCAGCUUGGGCAACAUAAGACUUUGUGUUUAAAAAAAAAUCAAAGAACUAUUUAUUAUUUUUAUAAGAAAUGAAGAAUCCUCUCAUUCUAUUCCAAGUGCACCCACACACUCUGUUCAGCUCUGGCUGUGUGAUAAACAGCUUGCAAUGUCUAAGAAACCGGGUGGUUUGAUGCUAGCUGCAGGUGAUGGAAGGGAGAGUGGAAGUCUUCUCCAGGAGUGGGGAAGUAAAAGUUGCUCUUCUAUUUCCUUUGCAUUGCUCCUUCUGGUUAGAAGGUGUGCAAGCCUCUACCACCUGCUAACUGGUUGGACACUGUGUUUUCUCCUGGACUUGUUUAGAAGCCACAGCAUAAGAGGAGCGCUCACACUCGCUACAGCAUUUAGAUCGCAUUAACAAGCCAAGUGUUCUCUUCAAAGUUGAUCCCUUUCCCCCAUCUUUGGUCAGGCACCAAACUCCAUGCUAAGCCCCUCCAUGUCUCUUGCAUCCAGCCCUUCCAGGUUCAUGGCGACACUCUUCCAUAGUGGCAAUACUCAGUCCCUGCUGGGCACGGCGGUUCGCCUAUUCUACUUUCCCACUGUAUUUGUCGUCCGUUCAAAAGCUGAAACCUGCCACAUCAAGUCCCUCCUGCCUCAGCCCUCUAUGCUUCUACGGUAAACUUCUCUCGCCGGACUCUGCAACCCUCUGCUUUUGCACACAGAGCUCCUCCUUCCCACUCCACACCUCUCUCUGCUUGGGAAAUGCUUUGAGCCUUAACUCAAGGGCCAUUUAACCUGGGAAGGCUUUACCAGAUUAAGAAAACUGUUCCUUCAGCUCCAGGUUCUCACACCCUGGUCACAGCUGUAUAAGAGCACAGAGCACACAGUGGGGGCACGUCGGGCACCCAAGCUUGUCUCACUACUCGGAUGAGUCUUUGUCUAGGUGUCUGGGCACCUAGCUAGGUACCUAAUUCAGUGGAUGGGCCCAGUGAACACCUGUUGAAUAGAAACAGCAUCAAAACGUGGCUGAGUGUUCACACAAUGCUUUAGUUACCUAUUUUUAAGAUGUACAAUACAAUUUGUGAGACCAGUGUAGACAACCAGAACAUGUAUAAAAAUCUGUAUGCCAGUUAUUUUCGAUGACCUUGUUCUUUUCUACUCAAAAGUUAAUGGGACUGCCACUAGAGUCUGGGUUUUCUACCAUACUUGCUGAAGGAAAAGAAAAUAAUGUCUUUUCUCUGACUGCACGAUUAGAGGCAACAGUCCUCGCAGUACACCUGCAGUGUAAACAGUACUCUGUGGUGUGUGCAGAACCCAGAAGAGGAUAUGUUCAGGCAAAGCGCUGUUUGAGUAUGGCCUCACCAAUGUUUGUUCUGGCUUGAGAACAGGAAAAGGAAGCUAUUUGACCUCACUGGAAAUCCAAAGGUUGUUUGAAACUUAAAAAAAAAAAAUCUUUGUUUAUUUUAAACUUAUUUCAAGGCAGCUAGAAGAUCUCCUGUGCCAUCGAGGUCUUUUACAGGAAAGCGAUGGCCACUGUUAUUCUGCAAUACCAAUAGAAAGCGCCUCUAAGUGGGGCACUGAAUUAGAAUUCAAAACCCAGGAGCAGCCUGAGCAUUAGUUAAUAAGUAAAAUAUAGUCUAGUCACUAAAACAGAAUAACAGGUAGAUAUCCUCAGGGGGGAGAAGGAAAGAAGAGGAAUUUACUACUUCCAACAUUUACUAUAGUUCCAGAAUUUCAAUGACCUACUAAGGGAGUUUUCCUUUAUAGGUAUAUAAUCUCCCACAUGGUAAUAAUCUCCCACAUGGUAAACUCUGCAUGUCGUUUUGGGGACAAUGACAGAGGUGCAGUGGCACUGCCAAUCAUCCUCUCCCCAUCAUCUCCCACUGUGGCUCCCUCCUGGGGAGGUCUGUCCAGGGAGCGCUAGCAGUCUAUGCUGUGAUUCUGUAGUAGGGGAGUUUAGGGUGGUGAGUAGCUCAGGGAGUGUGGGUUCCGCACGCACCUGCACGGGUGCCCACGAUGCACAGGCGGUAUGAUGGCUACCCUCCCAGAACUCACAGGCAGGAAUAGGCAACUACUGCCAACUGAAAGUUUCCUGCAGGCCAAGCUUUCUGGGCUAAGAGUUUAUACACAUUGUCCUCUUCACUCCCCAGACAUCCUCAGAGGAAAGUAUGAGCGAUCGGAUCUUUCAGGCGAGAUAAACAUGUCCAAGGAGGGCUAAUUAGCUGUGAAGGCGAGGUGCUGCCAGCGCAGUCUGUCUCUAACCCUUGGUCUCUGCAGCACUGUGUACUCUGCUAGGUUUGGUGAGAUUUGUGAGAUAAGCCACGCUGAAUCCCAAGGGCCACACAGCCAUUAUAGGGGAAAAAAGGAUGGAUAGAUGAAGAAUUACUCACAGGAUGACAAGAUAAUGGGCUUUGGGGGCCCGGGGAAGCAACGUGGUGAUGUGAUGGGGAACACUGAGUACAGUAAGCAGCUGUGACCUGGGACAGUGGUGCCCAUGAGAGAGGGGCACCUGUGAUUAUUUUUAAAAACUGAUUUUAUUGAGCUAUACAUUUUUCUCUGCUCCCCUCCUUGCCUCUCCUUUUCACUUCAACCCUUUCCCAUGGUCCCCAUGCUCCCAAUUACCUGUGCUUUUUUUUUUUAAGUGAAGAAAAUGAAAGUAAAUAAAAGUCAUUUCCCAAACACCACAGUGUGUGGUCUGUGCAGUAUGUGAGUGUGUGUGUGUGAGUGUGUGAGUGGUUUGUGCAGUGAGUGAGUGUGUUAGUAGUCUGUGCAGUACGUGAGUGUGCGAGUGGUCUAUGCCGUGUGUGAAUGUGUUAGUUGUUUGUGCAGUGUGUGAGUAUGAGUGCUCUGUUCUGGCCAGAGUCGGGCUUCUAAUUUUGUUUCAGGGUUAUUUUCACCUUGACAGAGCAUCGAUACUCGGUUGCAUUUUGCUUUGUUGACUGCCUUUGCCAUUUGUGCUGUGCUUUUAGCUCUGUUCAUGUGAUGGGAUUUGAGCAAAUCUACCCGGGUCUUCAGGUUAGUUCUUGGAGUCAAGUUUCCUGAGUUUUGUUCUUACAUCUGAUCCUUUCUAAACCGAGCCCUUAGGAGUCUUAGUUCCACUUAACACUCAACCCCUCACACUCUCUAUUUUUAUUUAACUAAACAGGAACUUUAAUAUGAAAACAAUCUUCUGAGGCUUCCAUCUAACUUGUUUUUAAACUACAGUCAUAGUU
This is a long non-coding RNA of Alexandromys fortis (reed vole), 4416 nucleotides long. RefSeq lists it as uncharacterized. Lineage: Eukaryota; Metazoa; Chordata; Mammalia; Rodentia; Cricetidae. The record is from RefSeq and is a predicted model, not a curated record. The transcript has 4 exons.